GGCUUAUAGUUUCUUUUUGUUUGUUUUCCACAGGUUGAUACUGAAAAUGCACAGCUAAUUUUUAAGGUCAUCUUCCAGAUGUGAUAGAAGCAGGGAAAAUAACACUUAGCAGCAGCUACAUCUUCAGCUGUUGAAAGUGCUCACCAUGAGAAUCAUUACAGCCCGGAGCUCUUGCAUAUUGUGGCCAGUUUGGAUUCCUUUCGACUCAUCUUGACCUACUAGAGAACGAGAGAGGAGGAGAGAAAGAGACACAGCGAGAACACAUCUGUUCUAUGGAUAAAACAGAACCAGAGUUCAUGAUUCAUAGGAAAGUAUGCCUUGUUUUGGACUGCAGUCUCAGGCUGAACGUAUCUCUGUUGCUUCCAGCCUCAGAUGAGAGGUGAGAAUAUUAAAGCUGUGGUCUUCACAAAGUGCCUAUUAAUGAUUAUUCUUUU
RNAcentral lists this long non-coding RNA (434 nucleotides) under Anser cygnoides (Swan goose). RNAcentral's name for it is "lncRNA (ENSACDG00005006246.1)". Lineage: Eukaryota; Metazoa; Chordata; Aves; Anseriformes; Anatidae. The record is from RNAcentral.